RNAcentral lists this non-coding RNA (29 nucleotides) under Mus musculus (house mouse). The record is from RNAcentral. Lineage: Eukaryota; Metazoa; Chordata; Mammalia; Rodentia; Muridae.
UAUGAUGUUUGCUGCCUGAUGUGACUCUC